Molecule: ribosomal RNA, 381 nt
Filed under: uncultured bacterium
Lineage: Bacteria
Description: bacterial SSU rRNA
Rfam family: Bacterial small subunit ribosomal RNA
Source: RNAcentral
GACGAACGCUGGCGGCGUGCUUAACACAUGCAAGUCGAGCGGUAAGGCCCUUUCGGGGGUACACGAGCGGCGAACGGGUGAGUAACACGUGGGUGACCUGCCCUCAGCUCUGGGAUAAGCCUGGGAAACCGGGUCUAAUACUGGAUAUGACUCCAUGACGCAUGUUGUGGGGUGGAAAGCCUUGUGCGGCUGAGGAUGGGCCCGCGGCCUAUCAGCUUGUUGGUGGGGUGANGGCCUACCAAGGCGACGACGGGUAGCCGGCCUGAGAGGGCGACCGGCCACACUGGGACUGAGACACGGCCCAGACUCCGUACGGGAGGCAGCAGGUGGGGAAUCUUGCGCAAUGGGCGAAAGCCUGACGCAGCGACGCCGCGUGAGGGA